GAUGAACGCUAGCGGCAGGCUUAAUACAUGCAAGUCGUGGGGCAGCAUGAGUAGCAAUACUUGAUGGCGACCGGCAAACGGGUGAGGAACACGUACACAACCUUCCUUCAAGCGGGGAAUAGCCCAGAGAAAUUUGGAUUAAUACCCCAUAAUAUAUUUGAUAAGGCAUCUUAUUAAUAUUAAAGCUUCGGCACUUGAUGAUGGGUGUGCGGCUGAUUCGAUAGUUGGCGGGGUAACGGCCCACCAAGUCUACGAUCAGUAGCUGAUGUGAGAGCAUGAUCAGCCACACGGGCACUGAGACACGGGCCCGACUCCUACGGGAGGCAGCAGUAAGGAAUAUUGGACAAUGGACGAAAGUCUGAUCCAACCAUGCCGCGUGAAGGAUUAAGGUCCUCUGGAUUGUAAACUUCUUUUAUAUGGGACGAAAAAAGGGCAUUCUUGUUCACUUGACGGUACCAUAUGAAUAAGCACCGGCUAACUCCGUG
This 485-nucleotide ribosomal RNA is filed under the name uncultured bacterium. RNAcentral describes it as "bacterial SSU rRNA". It matches the Rfam family "Bacterial small subunit ribosomal RNA", at positions 28 to 507 of the family's 1533-position model. The record is from RNAcentral.